ACCAUGCGCAAAGAGCAGGUCUUAUCCUAGUAUGAAUUAUCUGUUAAACUGUUUACAUAUGUAUGAAAAUCCUUGAAAAUCAAUAUAUUAUGUACAAAGAGAGUAAAUUCCUGUUAGGUCAUAACCAAAUUGUGUAUCAGAACAAAAAAACUUUGUCAAUGCAAUUAAGAUUUUUGUUAGUAGAGCUAUUAUCUCUCGCCUUGUAAAACUUUUUUCCUUUUCCCGGGACCUGGUGGCCAAUUUUGUCACCACAAAAGAAAGUUUGGAGUCGAAUUUUUAUCAUAUUCGAUAAUUUGCAGAGGUGGUACAGCCAAAGCCAAGUGGUUCUUGGCACAUUCUCGUGCAGAAGUUAAAAGGUAUCGUAAACAACAAAGUAAGUAUUACAUUAUACUAUAUGAUUGACAUGUGAUCUGCGCAGUUGUAAAGAAACUUUCAAGUCUGGGAAAACAUGUCGUUGCAUUAGUAAUCCCCAAAAAUGAUUUUUUUUUUGUGCACCAAAUGAUUAUAUUAAGAAUUAAAAGUCUAACGGGCUUAAACGAUUACAUCCAGAGGUAAUCUCCGCGAAAAGACAAUGAAAGAAAAGUACUACAACAAGGGAAAAGAUAGAUGUGUAGGAAAAGUAAAAGAACUCGUAGAGCAGCUUUACUUUGAACCCUACAACUGUUAUUUGGAGCAACAAAUUAUAGUCGGAGUGGUCGACGUUGAAAUACCCAACUGAAAGGAUUUAAAAACGGUUACAUACCAACUCUGAUGAUAAGCGGCCUUCGCUUGAUGGCAAUGUCAAGAAAUUUUGCCCAUAUGGUGACAGCAUAUGUACGAAGUAACCUCCAAUAAAAUGCCUUAGUCAGAGAGAGUCGACCUAUGAACUCCGCUUUUAGAGAACUCGUCUGGCAUGACAUAAUUGCCAUUUUCCAAUAGACAGAGAUACUCAUAGUGUCAAAGUGAAAGUUCGAAGCUCAGUAAACGUAAAACGCGACAAUGGAGAAAGAGAAGUCACAAGGAGAAUGGCUAGGUGAACCAGAGAUAAGCGGAUGAAGAAAUACUAGAUAAAUUUUGAAGUGUACUAGAUGAUUGACAUGUGGUUUGCGCAAUUUUAAAGAAACAUUCAAGUCUGGGAAAACAUCACAAGAACAUACAUUAAAUCCCCAAAAAAAGAUCUUAAAUUUAAGAUUUAAUGAUGUCUGUCUUCAAAAACGGC
RNAcentral lists this long non-coding RNA (1198 nucleotides) under Brassica rapa (field mustard). RNAcentral's name for it is "long non-coding RNA (BRAP_LNC003269)". The record is from RNAcentral. Lineage: Eukaryota; Viridiplantae; Streptophyta; Magnoliopsida; Brassicales; Brassicaceae.